This 233-nucleotide ribosomal RNA is filed under the name uncultured bacterium. Its description in RNAcentral is "partial 16S ribosomal RNA". It matches the Rfam family "Bacterial small subunit ribosomal RNA", at positions 15 to 236 of the family's 1533-position model. The record is from RNAcentral.
GAUCCUGGCUCAGGAUGAACGCUGGCGGCGUGCUUAACACAUGCAAGUCGAGGGGAAACGACAUCGAAAGCUUGCUUUUGAUGGGCGUCGACCGGCGCACGGGUGAGUAACGCGUAUCCAACCUGCCCACCACUUGGGGGAUAACCUUGCGAAAGUAAGACUAAUACCCAAUGAUAUCUCUAGAAGACAUCUGAAAGAGAUUAAAGAUUCAUCGGUGAUGGAUGGGGAUGCGU